GAUGAACGCUGGCGGCGUGCUUAACACAUGCAAGUCGAACGAUGAAGCCCAGCUUGCUGGGUGGAUUAGUGGCGAACGGGUGAGUAACACGUGAGUAACCUGCCCUUAACUCUGGGAUAAGCCUGGGAAACUGGGUCUAAUACCGGAUAGGAGCGCCUACCGCAUGGUGGGUGUUGGAAAGAUUUAUCGGUUUUGGAUGGACUCGCGGCCUAUCAGCUUGUUGGUGAGGUAAUGGCUCACCAAGGCGACGACGGGUAGCCGGCCUGAGAGGGUGACCGGCCACACUGGGACUGAGACACGGUCCAGACUCCUACGGGAGGCAGCAGUGGGGAAUAUUGCACAAUGGGCGAAAGCCUGAUGCAGCGACGCCGCGUGAGGGAUGACGGCCUUCGGGUUGUAAACCUCUUUCAGUAGGGAAGAAGCGAAAGUGACGGUACCUGCAGAAGAAGCACCGGCUAACUACGUG
This 466-nucleotide ribosomal RNA is filed under the name uncultured bacterium. RNAcentral's name for it is "partial 16S ribosomal RNA". It matches the Rfam family "Bacterial small subunit ribosomal RNA", at positions 28 to 507 of the family's 1533-position model. The record is from RNAcentral.